AUGGACGAAAGUCUGACCGAGACGACGCCGCGUGAGUGUAGAAGGUUUUCGGAUCGUAAAGCUCUGUUGUAAGUCAAGAACGUGUGUGAGAGUGGAAAGUUCACACAGUGACGGUAGCUUACCAGAAAGGGACGGCUAACUACGUGCCAGCAGCCGCGGUAAUACGUAGGUCCCGAGCGUUGUCCGGAUUUAUUGGGCGUAAAAGGGAGCGCAGGCGGUCAGGAAAGUCUGGAGUAAAAGGCUAUGGCUCAACCAUAGUGUGCUCUGGAAACUGUCUGACUUGAGUGCAGAAGGGGAGAGUGGAAUUCCAUGUGUAGCGGUGAAAUGCGUAGAUAUAUGGAGGAACACCAGUGGCGAAAGCGGCUCUCUGGUCUGUCACUGACGCUGAGGCUCGAAAGCGUGGGUAGCGAACAGGAUUAGAUACCCUGGUAGUCCACGCCGUAAACGAUGAGUGCUAGGUGUUAGGCCCUUUCCGGGGCUUAGUGCCGGAGCUAACGCAAUAAGCACUCCGCCUGGGGAGUACGACUGCAAGGUUGAAACUCAAAGGAAUUGACGGGGGCCCGCACAAGCGGUGGAGCAUGUGGUUUAAUUCGAAGCAACGCGAAGAACCUUACCAGGUCUUGACAUCCCGAUGCUAUUCUUAGAGAUAGGAAGUUACUUCGGUACAUCG
This 670-nucleotide ribosomal RNA is filed under the name Streptococcus mutans. RNAcentral describes it as "bacterial SSU rRNA". It matches the Rfam family "Bacterial small subunit ribosomal RNA", at positions 371 to 1031 of the family's 1533-position model. The record is from RNAcentral. Lineage: Bacteria; Bacillati; Bacillota; Bacilli; Lactobacillales; Streptococcaceae.